This 492-nucleotide ribosomal RNA is filed under the name uncultured bacterium. RNAcentral's name for it is "partial 16S ribosomal RNA". It matches the Rfam family "Bacterial small subunit ribosomal RNA", at positions 29 to 507 of the family's 1533-position model. The record is from RNAcentral.
AGUGAACGCUGGCGGUAGGCCUAACACAUGCAAGUCGAACGGCAGCACAGUAAGAGCUUGCUCUUACGGGUGGCGAGUGGCGGACGGGUGAGGAAUACAUCGGAAUCUACUUUUUCGUGGGGGAUAACGUAGGGAAACUUACGCUAAUACCGCAUACGACCUACGGGUGAAAGCAGGGGAUCUUCUGACCUUGCGCGAUUGAAUGAGCCGAUGUCGGAUUAGCUAGUUGGCGGGGUAAAGGCCCACCAAGGCGACGAUCCGUAGCUGGUCUGAGAGGAUGAUCAGCCACACUGGAACUGAGACACGGUCCAGACUCCUACGGGAGGCAGCAGUGGGGAAUAUUGGCCAAUGGGCGCAAGCCUGAUCCAGCCAUACCGCGUGGGUGAAGAAGGCCUUCGGGUUGUAAAGCCCUUUUGUUGGGAAAGAAAAGCAGCAGGUUAAUACCCCGCUGUUCUGACGGUACCCAAAGAAUAAGCACCGGCUAACUUCGUG